GCGCUCAGGCUGGUGCUGGGGGAU
This 24-nucleotide microRNA is filed under the name Gallus gallus (chicken). Its description in RNAcentral is "gga-miR-1466". Lineage: Eukaryota; Metazoa; Chordata; Aves; Galliformes; Phasianidae. The record is from miRBase by way of RNAcentral.